This is a non-coding RNA of Ascochyta clinopodiicola, 114 nucleotides long. The record is from the annotation of a GenBank genome assembly. NCBI's taxonomy places the organism in Eukaryota, Fungi, Ascomycota, Dothideomycetes, Pleosporales, Didymellaceae.
UCCUCCGUGGCGCAAUUGGCUAGCGCGUCUGACUGUUACCAACAGUGUGUUAUCCGUUAAUCCGCUUGAUGAUUGCAUAUCAGGAGGUUGAAAGUUCGAGCCUUUCCGGGGGAG